UACGUAGGGUGCAGGCGUUAAUCGGAAUUAUUGGGCGUAAAGAGCUCGUAGGCGGUUUGUCGCGUCUGCUGUGAAAACCGGAGGCUCAACCUCCGGCCUGCAGUGGGUACGGGCAAACUAGAGUGCGGUAGGGGAGAUUGGAAUUCCUGGUGUAGCGGUGGAAUGCGCAGAUAUCAGGAGGAACACCGAUGGCGAAGGCAGAUCUCUGGGCCGUAACUGACGCUGAGGAGCGAAAGCGUGGGGAGCGAACAGG
Molecule: ribosomal RNA, 253 nt
Filed under: uncultured bacterium
Lineage: Bacteria
Description: partial 16S ribosomal RNA
Rfam family: Bacterial small subunit ribosomal RNA
Source: RNAcentral